RNAcentral lists this long non-coding RNA (470 nucleotides) under Lotus japonicus. Its description in RNAcentral is "long non-coding RNA (LJAP_LNC000571)". The record is from RNAcentral. Lineage: Eukaryota; Viridiplantae; Streptophyta; Magnoliopsida; Fabales; Fabaceae.
CAGCUUAAAUAACUACAUUUGUUAAUUGAAGUCAAUUUGAGAAAUAACAUAAUUAGCUGGGCUGCCAUCAUUUUCUCUUUUACAUGUGGCAUUUGAAAAAACAGGGAAAAAAUGGACACUAAUAUGUAUUGAGUGUGGUAAUAAAUAUUUCAUACUGCAACAUUUAAUGCUAAGAUUACAAAAUUAGCAGCUAUUAAGAUUCCAUGAUGAUACAAUAGAAAUCACUAACAAAAAGGUAUUUGGGCAGUGGUUGUUACUGUCACCAUCCCCCACUCCGGUCACGGUGGCCACCCAAAAACACAGGAGGAAUCAGCGGCAAUUCACCGUGGCUCCAAUGAUUGAGUAGCUAUGUUAUGAGCAUAUUUGACUACAUGUGACAAUAACAUCAAAGACACGUAUUGCAGAUUUAUGGUCCUUCCAUGUACAAAACUUAUGACAAGGUUUAUUAACCUCAGAUUACUUGCGCUUAU